AUUUAUUUAAAUUUAUUAAAUAUUUAUUUUGUAAUUGAUUGUAAUUGAAAUAUCUGGUUAUUAGUAUUUAAUAAAGAAAUAUUAUUGUUUAUGAUAGAUUAAAGUACUGUGGGGGAAAGUUAAAGUAAUUUUAUAAGAAAGUUUAAUUUGUUGUAUCUUGUGUAUCAGAGUUUAUUAAAAUAUUAUUUAAAUAAAUAUUUCUCGAAUCAAUAAGAGUAAUUUUUAUAUAAUUUUUAUUGUUAAAUAAAUACUUAUAAUAUAAUUAUAGUAAUGAAACGUUAGUCGUUUUUUGAUAUAUCUAGUUUUUUAAUAUAAAAUUCAAUUUUAUUUUUUAAUAUUAAUUGAGCUAAUUUUGCUUUAUUAGUUUAAAAAUUUUAUGGUUUGGGGGAUAAGCUCUUAAUUAUUUUAAAUAUAAAAUUUUAUUUAUUUUUUAUUUGUAGGAUUAAAAUUUUCUAUCAGUUGGAGGAUGUUAUAGUUAAUAAAGUUUAGUAAAUUAUUUAUUUGUUUGUUUUUAUAUUUAUAUUAAAAUAUUAGUUUUAAUUUAAUUAAUUAAGAAAUAAUGAUAGAAUUAGUAAAAUUUAUUGUUUGUUUAUAUUUAAAUUUAAAAUAUAUUUAAUGAACUCGGCAAAUAUUUCUCUUACCUGUUUAAUAAAAACAUGUCCUUUAGAUUUAUGAUUUAAGGUCGGGCCUGCUCAAUGAUUUUUAAAUAGCUGCAGUAUUUUGACUGUACAAAGGUAGCAUAAUCAUUAGUUUUUUAAUUGAGAACUAGAAUGAAUGGUUUUAUAAGGAGAAUACUUUAUUAUGUUUAAUAAUUGAAUUUUAUUUUUAAGUUAAAAAGCUUAAAUAUUUCAAAAAGACGAGAAGACCCUAUAGAGUUUUACUUAAUUUAUUAAAUUUAAUAUUAAGAUUAGAUUGUAGGUUUUAUUAAUUAAGUUUUGUUGGGGUGACAUUAAAAUUUAAAAAACUUUUAAUUAUUAAAUAUUAAUUAAUAAAUGUUUGAUCCUUUAUUUAAGAUUAAAAGAUUAAAUUACCUUAGGGAUAACAGCGUAAUUUUUUCAAAGAGUUCUAAUCGAAGAAAAAGAUUGCGACCUCGAUGUUGGAUUAAGAUUGUCUUUGGGUGUAGAAGUUUAAAAGUUUAGUCUGUUCGACUAUUAAAAUCUUACAUGAUCUGAGUUUAAACCGGCGUGAGCCAGGUUGGUUUCUAUCUUUUGUUUAUUAAUUAUUUUAGUACGAAAGGACCAAUUAAUUGGACAAUGUCUUUAUUAGAUUUA
RNAcentral lists this ribosomal RNA (1271 nucleotides) under Tenebrionoidea sp. 4 KM-2017. Its description in RNAcentral is "16S ribosomal RNA". The stretch from base 850 to 1211 matches the Rfam family "Archaeal large subunit ribosomal RNA", at positions 2150 to 2716 of the family's 2987-position model. The record is from RNAcentral. Lineage: Eukaryota; Metazoa; Arthropoda; Insecta; Coleoptera.